This 254-nucleotide ribosomal RNA is filed under the name uncultured bacterium. RNAcentral's name for it is "partial 16S ribosomal RNA". It matches the Rfam family "Bacterial small subunit ribosomal RNA", at positions 524 to 776 of the family's 1533-position model. The record is from RNAcentral.
UACGAAGGGGGCUAGCGUUGUUCGGAAUUACUGGGCGUAAAGCGCACGUAGGCGGAUAUUUAAGUCAGGGGGUGAAAUCCCAGAGCUCAACUCUGGAACUGCCUUUGAUACUGGGUAUCUCGAGUAUGGAAGAGGUGAGUGGAAUUCCGAGUGUAGAGGUGAAAUUCGUAGAUAUUCGGAAGAACACCAGUGGCGAAGGCGACUCGCUGGACAAGUAUUGACGCUGAGGUGCGAAAGCGUGGGGAGCAAACAGG